CUUGUUUAGAUGUUAUUACGAAUCAAACAGGAGUACUUUUUUUUGGGCCACCCGGUAUAUCAUAAUCCGUAUCACAUAAUAAAUACGAAUCUGUAAAUAUUGUUUUGAUAUGCAAUCCGGCAUCAAGAUUCACAUGAAAUGCAAUUCAUGUAGUGUUAUAGAUAAAGUAUUAUGGAGUAGUUACUGGUUAAUAUGUUAUUACAGGCACAUAUAUAUUUUGUAAUAUACAGUAUUGGAAUUGACUUUGCAAGUCUGGUUGUAAAAAUAAAAAUAUUUGGUUGUUUGGGGAUGGAGUGCUCCCAAAGGUCACCCUCAACCCCAUAGACUCACAUAAAUCAAUGUAUUAUACAGUGUAUUGUAUAGUAAACAAUGACCAUCACGGGGAUCUACUACCCCUUGGACAUUAAAAUAAACAAUGACCAUCACGGGGAUCUACUACCCCUUGGACAUUAAAGUAAGCAAUGACCAUCACGGGGAUCUACUACCCCUUGGACAUUUAGGAUGCCCAUCUCGGGGAUCUACUACCCCUUGGGUAAAGUCCAACAUGGGGGAACUACGACCCCCUGAGGACAUAUAAUUAUAUCAUAAUCAUAUUGCUGUAAUAGUGAGUCUGUGGGGCGACACUUUGGCCAGAGUUUAAAGUAUAAUCGGAGCAUUUCUCCUCGACAACCCUUCUCCCACAACAUUGUGUGUGUCAUAGUUGUUUUCUUAAUUGUCUUAGAAUAUUUGCUUAACGAAUUGGUGCAUUAAUGUUUAAAUUAUAAUAAUAAAGUAAGCAGUUCUUGCUGGGCUCAUUAGGACACCAGGAAAUAAUAAAAGCGAAUCUAUAAAGAUCCCAUGCAAUAUUAAAAUUUUGGUUAUGUCAAUAAUUUGUG
Molecule: non-coding RNA, 875 nt
Organism: Paramuricea clavata
Lineage: Eukaryota; Metazoa; Cnidaria; Anthozoa; Malacalcyonacea; Plexauridae
Source: the annotation of a GenBank genome assembly